Molecule: ribosomal RNA, 323 nt
Filed under: uncultured bacterium
Lineage: Bacteria
Description: bacterial SSU rRNA
Rfam family: Bacterial small subunit ribosomal RNA
Source: RNAcentral
GAUGAACGCUGGCGGCGUGCCUAACACAUGCAAGUCGAACGGACUUAUUUUGGAAACUCUUUCGGGAGCGGAAUUCAUAAGUUAGUGGCGGACGGGUGAGUAACGCGUGAGCAAUCUGCCCUUAGGUGGGGGAUAACAGCCGGAAACGGCUGCUAAUACCGCAUAACGCAGUGAAAUCGCAUGGUUUUACUGCCAAAGAUUUAUUGCCUUUGGAUGAGCUCGCGUCUGAUUAGCUAGUUGGCGGGGUAACAGCCCACCAAGGCGACGAUCAGUAGCCGGACUGAGAGGUUGAACGGCCACAUUGGGACUGAGACACGGCCCAG